GGGCCCGCACAAGCGGUGGAGCAUGUGGUUUAAUUCGAUGAUACGCGAGGAACCUUACCAGGGCUUAAAUGUAAGUUGCAUAGAUCAGAGAUGGUCUUUUCUUCGGACUACUUACAAGGUGCUGCAUGGUUGUCGUCAGCUCGUGCCGUGAGGUGUCAGGUUAAGUCCUAUAACGAGCGCAACCCCUGUCGUUAGUUACCAGCAAGUAAUGUUGGGUACUCUAGCGAGACUGCCGGUGCAAACCGUGAGGAAGGUGGGGAUGACGUCAAAUCAUCACGGCCCUUACGUCCUGGCUACACACGUGCUACAAUGGCCGGUACAGAGAGCAGCCACUACGCGAGUAGGAGCGAA
Molecule: ribosomal RNA, 351 nt
Filed under: uncultured bacterium
Lineage: Bacteria
Description: bacterial SSU rRNA
Rfam family: Bacterial small subunit ribosomal RNA
Source: RNAcentral